ACGGAAGGCGGCAGUGAGGAAUAUUGGUCAAUGGACGGAAGUCUGAACCAGCCAAGUCGCGUGAAGGAAGAAGGUAUUAUGUAUUGUAAACUUCUUUAGACGUAGAGAAAUAAGUGCCUCGUGAGGCAUGAUGCUAGUAUACGUAGAAUAAGGAUCGGCUAACUCCGUGCCAGCAGCCGCGGUAAUACGGAGGAUCCGAGCGUUAUCCGGAUUUAUUGGGUUUAAAGGGUGCGAAGGCGGUCUUUUAAGUCAGUGGUUAAAGAGUGGGGCUCAACCUCAUCCCGCCAUUGAUACUGGGAGACUUGAUUGCGGUCGAGGUUGGCGGAAUUCGCCGUGUAGCGGUGAAAUGCAUAGAUAUGGCGAAGAACUCCGAUUGCGUAGGCAGCUGACCAGGCCGUAAAUGACGCUCAUGCACGAAAGUGCGGGGAUCGAACAGGAUUAGAUACCCUGGUA
RNAcentral lists this ribosomal RNA (453 nucleotides) under uncultured Porphyromonadaceae bacterium. Its description in RNAcentral is "partial 16S ribosomal RNA". It matches the Rfam family "Bacterial small subunit ribosomal RNA", at positions 341 to 792 of the family's 1533-position model. Lineage: Bacteria; Pseudomonadati; Bacteroidota; Bacteroidia; Bacteroidales; Porphyromonadaceae. The record is from RNAcentral.